UGCUGAAAUCCUAUCCUGCUUUCAUUAUAUAAUUUUAUAGUUAUCCACAAAGCUAUCAUGAUUGUUUGUACAAGAAUUAUGCCUCGGUACUACAAACACAACUGUCUCAAUAGGAUGUGAACAUUAUCUUCUCCUGUAGGAAAGAUCAUCUGAAAGAACAAAUGGCAUCUUUUGCCCAACAAGAAAAACAGUAUCAUCUUUCAACCAACAUAACAUCAACGUCAACUUGAACCAUCAAACAAGCUCAGUAAAUCACUUGGUGUUAUCGGGCACUAUGUGCAACCGAUGCUGCAGCUAAUAUGAUAAUCAUUGGGGGUAACAAUGACCACAAUCUGUUGACUUAUUUCUUCCUGGGAGCAAUUAAUGUUCAUUUUGGCUACAUUCUCCAAGAUAAAUAAUCAUGACAAUCUGUAACAGAAUGUACAUCGGCACCUAAUCUAACACAGAAGAAUUCUCCUCUGAACUCUUAGCUUCUAACUCCACUUUCUAUUUAAGCAAGUACAUCUUCAUCUAAGUUGAGGCUGGACUGCAUACAAGAGAAUUGUCUUCUAGCUCUACUUCUAUUCAGAUUCAAUCAGGAAGGGCUGAAAGUGUAGAAAGGCGACAAAGAAAAAGCACAUGCCAAUAUUACAAUAGUUUUAUCAAAAAACUAAGCACGUACUCUGGUUUAAGAUGGCCAGGACCUCUUUCCUUUAUGUUCACAAAUUCAGUUGAUGAUUAUCACUGAUUCGAGCAUUCUAUUAUUUGUGUUCGCGCGCAUGAACUAGACUACAGAUGCUUAAUGGCAAAAGGGUAAGAGAUUACCCCAAAAUAGAGCUAUAACAUAGAAUACUGGAUCAUAAUAAAACAACAAUUAAAACCUUUUCUGAGGUUGCAACGUCAAUUGAAAAACAUUAAUAUCAUAAGCCAAAGUAGAGCAACUACCAGAAUAAUAUGGGUUUGCCCUCAAUUAGUACUUGAUUAGGUAAUACUUAAUGCUGUAGCAAGAGCACCUUGCCCAGAAACUAAAGGUUGACAAAUAAACGAAAAUGCUCAACGUACUCUAGCAAUAUAAGCAACGGAUGCUGCAGCCAAAAAUGUUGUUGCUGAAGACACUAUAGCCCAUAAGCCCUUCUUCUUAUGUGCAUCUGCCAGAGAAUUCUGCAAAAAUUUCACUUGCUGCUUCAUCUCCUCCACCACAGUCUCCUUGUUUCUAAAUGCAUCUUUGAUAACUUCCAGCUCUGUUUCAUAUGGUUCAAUUACACCGUCGAGCUUCUUUUCAAUCAUGAUCACUUCUUCCUUUCCAUCAUUUGAUAGACCUAGUGAUGCUGCAGUGUUCUUCAACAUGGACAGCGCUCUUUCUGAGUAAAUGGCAGUUGAUUCCAUUUUACUCCUCAAAUCAUCAAUUUCUUGUUGUGCCUCAUAAAGAUUCUUUUGCAUCAAGUCCUUUUCCUUCUUCAACAAACCAACUUGGCUCUCCAUUUCCUUCUUUUCCUCGAAAAGACCUGCGUGCUCUUUUUUCUUCUUUGCAGUCUCUUUUACAGUCUCUUCAAUCCUCUUCUUCAUUUCCAGAACUUUAGAGCUCAAACUAAUGCUAUUUGUUUUCUCCUCAUCCAAAUCAACCUGGGCUUUGUCCCUCUCAAGUCUCACUUGCUCAAAAGCAUCUCUGUAAUGGCUAACCUCAGAUGCAAGUUGCUUGUUCUUGUCUUCUUGGUUUUUAAUGGAUUUUUGCAUUGCAGACGUAGCAUCCCUUAAUCCAGCCAGCUCCUUGUGCAACUCCGCAAUUGCACUCUCCUUGCUAACCUUCACAUCAUCAGUCUCUUUUUUCUCUCUCAUUAAUUUCUCAAUCAAUCCAUCCUUAUCUUUCACCUCAAUAUUCAUAGUCUUUAUAAUAUUGUCACUUGAAUGCAUUUCCUCCAUCAACCUCUCAAUGGUUAUGUCCUUCUGUUGCUUCUCUUCCAUCAACACAUCAACCUCCAUUGCUAUCACCUUGGCUUUCUCUAUUGCCUCGUGACAGCUCUUCUCCAACUCCAAGACUUUUUCACGUAAAACACCCUCCUCCCCACGUAAACUAGAUAUAAUCUCAUUCAAUUCAGAAACAUAUUUCUCUAAGCCAGUAAUCUUAACCUUUUGCCCGCUGUUCUCCAUUUCAAUCUCAGUCUUCUUCCUUACAAUAUCCUCCAUCUCCCUGUUUAAAUCUUCAAUCUCUUUUUCUUUCUCUGCCAAUUUCUUCUCAGCAAAAUCCGUUAAAUUUUUAACCUUCUCAAUUUCUUCCUCUAAUUCCUUAUUUUGCUUAAUCGACUGAGCAUAGUGCACCUUCAAUAUCCUAAUAUCCUCCGCAGUCUUUCUUUCCUUCUCCUCCAUUUCAAUCAAUUUCUCCCUCAAGCCAUUUGCCUCGUUCACCCAGUUGUCCAGAUCAAACCUCAACAUAUCCCUAUCCCGACAAGCCCAGCUCAAUUUCUGUCUCUCAUUUUCAAGAUUUUCCAGUAGCCCAUUCACCUCAGUCUUCAAGAAGACACUCUCAAUCUCUUUCUCUCCCUUUUCUCUUAACAAGCCCUCCGCAACAACCCCCAUCUCAUUCAUCCUCGUCUCAAUAAAAACACAAAACAGCCCCUUCUCUAUCUCCAAACUCAGUCUGUCCUCAGUUGACCGAGUCAGCAGAUUCUCCAAAUCUGUCUUCUCUAUACUAGUCCGAGUUAACUCAGUCUCUAAACCACGUUUAGCUUGCACCAAAGACUCAAUUUGCUGCCUGCGCUCAAGUGUCUCUUUGAGAAGCAUAGAGUUGAGGGAUUUCAAGUGCUGGAUCUUCUCUUCAGGGUCUUCCAUGGAGGAUUGAUGGCGAUUCAGGGCUGGUGUGCGCGAAUCUUCGUGUGGGAUGUCUUGGUUGGGGUUUUGAAAGAGAUGGGAGAGUUUCUUUUUGGACAUACUUCGUUGCGGUAAGGAAGACAGGAUUUAAGAAUUUAGGGUUAGGGUUUUUGCUAGGGGUUCUAUGGUGUGAGAAAUCAGAGAGAGAUAUACAAGGCAGAGGAAGAGCCAGAAAAAAUGGAGGGGAGAGAGAGAGACUGUCGAGAGUUUAAAUUUUGGGCCCACAGUUUCAG
RNAcentral lists this unclassified non-coding RNA (3077 nucleotides) under Hevea brasiliensis (rubber tree). Lineage: Eukaryota; Viridiplantae; Streptophyta; Magnoliopsida; Malpighiales; Euphorbiaceae. The record is from RNAcentral.